CCUACGGGUGGCAGCAGUGGGGAAUAUUGGACAAUGGGGGGAACCCUGAUCCAGCCAUGCCGCGUGUGUGAAGAAGGCCCUCGGGUUGUAAAGCACUUUCAGUGAGGAAGAACGCCUGGUGGUUAAUACCCAUCAGGAAAGACAUCACUCACAGAAGAAGCACCGACUAACUCCGUGCCAGCAGCCGCGGUAAUACGGAGGGUGCGAGCGUUAAUCGGAAUUACUGGGCGUAAAGCGCGCGUAGGUGGCUUGAUAAGCCGGUUGUGAAAGCCCCGGGCUCAACCUGGGAACGGCAUCCGGAACUGUCAAGCUAGAGUGCAGGAGAGGAAGGUAGAAUUCCCGGUGUAGCGGUGAAAUGCGUAGAGAUCGGGAGGAAUACCAGUGGCGAAGGCGGCCUUCUGGACUGACACUGACACUGAGGUGCGAAAGCGUGGGUAGCAAACAGGAUUAGAUACCCGAGUAGUC
RNAcentral lists this ribosomal RNA (465 nucleotides) under Vreelandella stevensii. RNAcentral's name for it is "partial 16S ribosomal RNA". It matches the Rfam family "Bacterial small subunit ribosomal RNA", at positions 338 to 795 of the family's 1533-position model. Lineage: Bacteria; Pseudomonadati; Pseudomonadota; Gammaproteobacteria; Oceanospirillales; Halomonadaceae. The record is from RNAcentral.